GAUGAACGCUGGCGGCGUGCCUAAUACAUGCAAGUCGAGCGAACGGACGAGAAGCUUGCUUUUCUGAUGUUAGCGGCGGACGGGUGAGUAACACGUGGAUAACCUACCUAUAAGACUGGGAUAACUUCGGGAAACCGGAGCUAAUACCGGAUAAUAUUUUGAACCGCAUGGUUCAAAAGUGAAAGACGGUCUUUCUGUCACUUAUAGAUGGAUCCGCGCUGCAUUAGCUAGUUGGUAAGGUAACGGCUUACCAAGGCAACGAUGGAUAGCCGACCUGAGAGGGUGAUCGGCCACACUGGAACUGAGACACGGUCAAGACUCCUACGGGAGGCAGCAGUAGGGAAUCUUCCGCAAUGGGCGAAAGCCUGACGGAGCAACGCCGCGUGAGUGAUGAAGGUGUUCGGAUCGUAAAACUCUGUUAUUAGGGAAGAACAUAUGUGUAAGUAACUGUGCACAUAUUGACGGUACCUAAUCAGAAAGCCACGGCUAACUACGUG
RNAcentral lists this ribosomal RNA (497 nucleotides) under uncultured bacterium. RNAcentral's name for it is "partial 16S ribosomal RNA". It matches the Rfam family "Bacterial small subunit ribosomal RNA", at positions 28 to 507 of the family's 1533-position model. The record is from RNAcentral.